AGCAGGAAGGAGGCUUGAGGGGGCCGGCUCUGAGAGGCACAAGGCACAACCCAGGGAAAGGCCUCAGAAAAAGCCAGUGUUGCCAGGAAGAGGGAUGGAGGAAGCAAGAAGGAAAGAAUGAGCAAGAGGACCAUAAGGAGCAGAUGAGGAGAAACAUUGUACCAGCAACGCCCUGGCCCGGGCCUCAUCUGAGGGCCUGGUGGUGUGGAGGCAAAGGCGCUGCCCUGCAAGGUAGACGUGCUGGAGAUUUUCACCCUGCUUUACGGAAGAGGAAAUGGAGAGGAAGAGGAAAUGGCCAACCUGCAGGAGAGCGAAGCUGCAAAGAAAGGAAGGUCUUGAGGCCACCUGGCCAAGUCCUUUCAAGUCCCCAGAGGAAGGUUUAACUGGACCUAGAUAACUGAGAAGGUGGGUAAAAGAUCCUCAAACUUCUCAGAGAGGCGCAGUGAGAUAAUGACUUCUAAACAGAUGUAACCAGUUAAUUUUCCCUUUCUCUGUGUUCAUUGUGAAGCGUGUCACAAGCUGACAAGGAAAACACUCCAAGCCUCAGUGGUUUUCAGUGACCAUUAUCAGAUUGAGGCCUAAAGUCCCUGUGGGCAGGGCCAGGUGGAGGCCAGCCCAGGCCUAGGCCACAGAAUGGAAGGGCAGCAUGGUCUGUGUGGCCUUUCCCUCCACUCCACACUUAAACAGCCACUGCAGUUUGGGGUUUUUUUUCCUCUGCAGAUUGGACCCAGG
This 732-nucleotide long non-coding RNA is filed under the name Heterocephalus glaber (naked mole-rat). RNAcentral's name for it is "lncRNA (ENSHGLG00100040791.1)". Lineage: Eukaryota; Metazoa; Chordata; Mammalia; Rodentia; Bathyergidae. The record is from RNAcentral.